Molecule: ribosomal RNA, 482 nt
Filed under: uncultured bacterium
Lineage: Bacteria
Description: partial 16S ribosomal RNA
Rfam family: Bacterial small subunit ribosomal RNA
Source: RNAcentral
AUUGAACGCUGGCGGCAUGCCUUACACAUGCAAGUCGAACGGUAACGGGCCUUCGGGUGCCGACGAGUGGCGAACGGGUGAGUAAUACAUCGGAACGUGCCCGAUCGUGGGGGGUAACGAGGCGAAAGCUUUGCUAAUACCGCAUACGAUCUACGGAUGAAAGCAGGGGACCGCAAGGCCUUGCGCGGACGGAGCGGCCGAUGGCAGAUUAGGUAGUUGGUGGGUUAAAAGCUUACCAAGCCGACGAUCUGUAGCUGGUCUGAGAGGAUGAUCAGCCACACUGGGACUGAGACACGGCCCAGACUCCUACGGGAGGCAGCAGUGGGGAAUUUUGGACAAUGGGCGCAAGCCUGAUCCAGCCAUGCCGCGUGCAGGAUGAAGGCCUUCGGGUUGUAAACUGCUUUUGUACGGAACGAAAAGCCUUCUUUUAAUACAGGAGGGUCAUGACGGUACCGUAAGAAUAAGCACCGGCUAACUACGUG